Molecule: ribosomal RNA, 412 nt
Filed under: Uropeltis macrolepis mahableshwarensis
Lineage: Eukaryota; Metazoa; Chordata; Lepidosauria; Squamata; Uropeltidae
Description: partial 12S ribosomal RNA
Source: RNAcentral
UGCCUGGACGUAACACGGCACCACCCCGCCCGCCAAAUAACUACGAGUGAAAACUUAAAACUUAAAGGACUUGACGGUACUUCACACCCAACCUAGAGGAGCCUGUCUACUAACCGAUAAUCCACGAUUAACCCAACCACUUCUAGCCACCCAGCCUAUAUACCACCGUCGCCAGCCUACCUUGUAAAAGAAACAAAGUAAGCCAAACAGCACUACACUAGCACGACAGGUCAAGGUGUAACUAAUGAAGCGGACUAAGAUGGGCUACAUUCUCUACCUCAGAUUAUACGAACAAGGCUAUGAAACUAACCUUUAAAGGCGGAUUUAGCAGUAAGCUGAGAACAAAAUACUCAACUGAAACCAAUGCAAUGAAGUGCGUACACACCGCCCGUCACCCUCUGCAGUCACUUUA